RNAcentral lists this ribosomal RNA (253 nucleotides) under uncultured bacterium. Its description in RNAcentral is "partial 16S ribosomal RNA". It matches the Rfam family "Bacterial small subunit ribosomal RNA", at positions 524 to 776 of the family's 1533-position model. The record is from RNAcentral.
UACGGAGGGUGCAAGCGUUAUCCGGAUUUACUGGGUUUAAAGGGUGCGUAGGUGGGUCUGUAAGUCAGUGGUGAAAUCUCCGAGCUUAACUCGGAAACUGCCAUUGAUACUAUAGAUCUUGAAUUAUCUGGAGGUAAGCGGAAUAUGUCAUGUAGCGGUGAAAUGCUUAGAUAUGACAUAGAACACCAAUUGCGAAGGCAGCUCGCUAAACUGUAACUGACGCUGAGGCACGAAAGCGUGGGGAUCAAACAGG